This 1637-nucleotide long non-coding RNA is filed under the name Homo sapiens (human). RNAcentral describes it as "HSALNT0377586". The record is from RNAcentral. Lineage: Eukaryota; Metazoa; Chordata; Mammalia; Primates; Hominidae.
UAAUAAAGCAAAUGACCAAGAAACAACUUUUAUAUUAAUCAGGAUUCGUUUUUAAGUUGAAGUGACCAAAAUACAACUCAAACUAACUCAAGCAAAAAAGAAAUAGGUACUGGGGAGAGGGGACAGUAGGGGAACAGGCUCCCACAUACUGAGAUCUGGGAACACAAAGGGAAGUUAUCAGGUCUCUCUCCCUCUCAGCUCUGCUUCUUUCAGUGUGGUGGCCUCAUUCUUUCUAACUGAAGAACGAUCUUUACUGCAGAAAAUUCUAAGCAUUAUUGUGGCAGAUCCAGUAAGUCCCAGAGAAGGAUUCUGAUUGGUCCUGCUUCAGUCACAUGCUUGCAUCUUAGUCCAAUCACUGUGGCCUGGAGGAUGGGACACCAUGAUUUGCAAGACUCUGGUCACAUGCCCACACCUGUGGCUUCUGAAGCAGAGCACCAGCAGUGACAGUCCCACCAGAACCGCAUGGAAUAGAAAACUGUGCAUUUCCCUAAGGAAAGGGAAUGCCAGAGAAGGGCAGAAGGGAAAUCAGGAAGACAAAACGGUAAAUUACCUACCACAAAUCCAAUUCAUUGGUAUUUUUCCACUUACACUUAACCAAGCAACGAUUUCUCCUGGUCCCAUAAUGGAAAAGAGGGUUUAUCUAGAUUCAUAUAUACAAGACUGAAGAGUGAAGAGAGACCCAGAGAAUGUUCUAAAAUCUGCCAGUUAGCAUAAUCACACAGAGAAAUCUCUGCUUCCAGAGGAGGAGCCAAGUUCAAGUCAGAGGUGAGGAAUGCCAACAGGAAAGCUCACUUUCUCCGGGGAUAUUCAGGCCAACACUAGGAAACCACAGCCAAGUCAGGCAGGGCUUGGGGCGGAACUGCUGACACCUCCACCCUAGCCAAUCCAAGGUGCACGCCUGCCUCAUGCAGCCCAGCGUGACUCCCGCCAUUGGCACACUGUGCCCAUCACAGGCUGGAGCUCCUUUCCUCCACCGUCUUCCCAACUCCUGCCAACCAGAACUUAACUACUCCUUUGGAUUCUGCUUUUCACUUGUUCUUCAUCAGACUAUGGAAGCUUAGACUUCAUAAUUUGGCUGAGACUUCAAAAAUAGUUUUAAAGAAAGCUAUUCCCACCCUGCUAAAUGUCUUCAUGUUGGAGUGGACCUUUCCUCUAUCUGUCAACAGAAUGGAUAAAUUGUGGAAGAGUAAUAUCAGAAUACUACACAUCAGUAAAAAACAACAAACUUCUGCUACAAACAAUCAACAUCGAUGAAUCUUUCAGGCAAAAGGGCAAAGAAAAGUAUUGGUCUUCCAAAACAAAUAGAGGACGGAGCUGCUGCUGUUGCAUGGUGUCUAGAAACUCAGACAACUUCAUCAUUCCAUAUUUGCAUCCAAGAGAGAGAAAGAAAAACUACAAUCAUUUUCCAUUUACCCAUCAACCCAUCAACCUCCAAAUAAAGGCUAUUAAAAAACAAUCAAAGUGUGAAGAGGGCAGAAAAUGUGAUGAAGAGAUUCUUUGGAGAAAGUAGCUGCCACUGUUACCUUGGGAUCUGCCUAUAGUCCUCACAGAGCUUGCCCUUGCAGGAUAGAACAUAGGAGUCUGGGAGUCUGCAAGAAGAGACAGGGUCUCACUAUGUUGCCCCAGUUGGCCUUGAA